Molecule: long non-coding RNA, 1203 nt
Filed under: Zonotrichia albicollis (white-throated sparrow)
Lineage: Eukaryota; Metazoa; Chordata; Aves; Passeriformes; Passerellidae
Description: lncRNA (ENSZALG00000003811.1)
Source: RNAcentral
AUGCUCAGGGCUCUGUGCUAUUCGGGGUCUGCAGUGCUUGAGGGUCUGUGUUCUUUGGGGAUCCGUGUUGCUCCCGGCUCUGGAUUUUGCCUCUUCCCUGCCAUCCCCGCUCCCCCCUUCCUGCUGCAGUCCCCGUUCCCUUUCCUCCAGCUCCCCUUUCCCUCCUCCAGACGCUCCCGACGCUCCCAGCGAUGUCACCUCCCGGCGGGAUCAUCCCCGGCUCUGAUCCUGGACCCCUCCUCUCCCUGCUCCUCCCGGACCUGCCGCUCCCAGCCCUCCGUGUCUCCAGCACCGCCUCCUUUCCCGACCGUCCUGCUUUCCCUGGGAUCUGCUCCUCAUGUCCCCACGGAAGGGGACAGGAUUCCGUCCGUGGGGACGCGGCGAGGGGUGACAAGGACACAAAUCCGAAAGCCGGACGCUCACCCGCGCGGGCAUCCCGGUGGAAUGAGGGCGGGAAUAGGGACAGAACAGGGGGUUUGGUGGCACCAGCGUGGUUUGUUGUCACCGCGCUGUGGCAGACGGAGCUGUCGGGGUCCCCGCCCCCUCUUGGCUUUGCUGUCCGGGCAGGAGGAUGUGUUAUCAUGGAUAUUUAACUCCCGCUGUAAUAAAAUCCCGCCGAUCCCGCCCUGCGCCUCCUCUCCGUGCUGGCUGCGGGAGCACCCAAAGCCCGGCCCGGCUCCGGCUCGACUCCCGGUGCCCGGGGACCUGGGGGCUGCACCGGCCCCGCUUCCCGGUGCUGUAGGACACAAGGAGGAGGCGCGGGGCUGGGGACACCCCCAGCUCCGAGCCCUGGCCACACUGUCCCCCCCCCACUCCACCAAGUUUUUGGGUAAGUCACGGUGUUUGGUCACCUGUCCCAGGGCACGCUGGCACUGUCACCUCCCUGUGCCACAGAGAACCAGCUCACACCUGCCCUGCACCCUCCCCAGCCCCCGUCCUUGUCCUUUACCCUGUCUCUGCCCUUUCUCCCCACUGCCCAGCCCAUAUCCUUGUUGUCCCCCACCCCAUUUCUUGCCGUCCUCCCCAGCUCCAUCCUUAUCCCCUGUCCCCCUCCCCAGCCCGUUCCCUGUCCCUGUCCCUUCCCCAGCCGUGUCCCUGCCUCACAUUCCCUGUCUCCCCGAGCAGAAGAAGAUCAUGAUCAUGUUGUGCUGCAUCAUCCUCGCCAUCAUCCUGGCAUCCAGCAUCGGGAGCAUCUUCGCCUGA